AUGCCGCCCGCCCGCCCCUUCCACCCCCCACUGCACCUCGCCGUCGCCGCCCUCCUCCUCUCCACCCUCCUCCAUGCCGCCUCCGCCGCGACGUCCCCCGAGGUGGACGCCCUCAUGGCCUUCAAGUCGUCCCUCGCCAUCCCUCCCGCGGCCGACCCGUUCUUCGCGUCCUGGGACGCCUCGGCCGCCACGCCCUGCAACUUCACCGGCGUCACGUGCCGCGGCUCCGCCGUCACCGCGCUCUCCGUACACGAUCUGAACGUCUCCGCCGAGUCCGUCCCGUUCGACGUCCUCUGCGGCUCGCUGAAGUCGCUCGCCACGCUCUCGCUCCCGUCCAACGCGCUCGCGGGGACCAUCGCCGGCGUCGACGCGUGCGUGGGGCUCCAGGAGCUCACCCUCCCCUUCAACUCCUUCUCCGGUGAGAUCCCCGACCUCUCGCCGCUCACCGGGCUCCGCACGCUCAACCUCUCCACCAACGCCUUCUCCGGCUCCUUCCCCUGGUCCGCGCUCGCCGCCAUGCCGGGCCUCCAGGCGCUCUCCGCCGGGGACAACCCGUACCUCACGCCCACCAAGUCCUUCCCGCCCGAGAUCACCAGGCUCACCAACCUCACCAAGCUCUACCUCUCCGCCGCCAACAUCGCCGGUCCCAUCCCCGCGGGCAUCGGGCGGCUCACCAGGCUCGUCGACCUCGAGCUCGCCGACAACCCCCUCACCGGCGAGAUUCCUCCGGCGAUCGCCCAGCUGGUGAAUCUCCAGAGCCUCGAGCUCUACAACUGCUCCCUCGCCGGCGCUCUCCCGCGGGGGUUCGGGAGGCUCACCAAGCUGCAGUUCUUCGACGCGUCCCAGAACCAGCUCACCGGCGGCCUCUCGGAGCUCCGAUCCCUCACGCGGCUCGUCUCGCUGCAGCUCUUCUACAACGGGCUCUCCGGAGAGGUGCCCCCCGAGUUCGGCGAAUUCAGGGAGCUCGUCAACCUGUCGCUCUACAACAACAGCCUCACCGGCGAGCUGCCGCAGAAACUGGGGAGCUGGUCGGCGCUCAACUUCAUCGACGUGUCCACCAACCUGCUCACGGGUCCGAUCCCGCCGGACAUGUGCAGGCGCGGCACCAUGCUGAAGCUGCUGAUGCUGGAGAAUCGAUUCUCCGGCGAGAUUCCGGCGACGUACGCGACCUGCACGACGCUGCAGAGGUUCAGGGUCAGCAAGAACUCGCUCACCGGCGAGGUGCCCGAGGGAAUCUGGGCGCUUCCAACAGCCGAGAUCAUCGACCUCGAGGGCAACCAGUUCACCGGUGGCAUCGGCGACGCCAUCGGGAAAGCCGCGUCGCUCACCAGUCUCCACCUCGCCGGGAACAAAUUCUCCGGCGCGAUACCCUCGUCGAUAGGCGACGCAGCGAAGCUGCAGAGCAUUGACGUGUCGUCGAACGAGCUCUACGGCGAGAUACCAGCGAGCAUCGGCAAGCUGGUCCAUCUCGAGAGCCUGGACAUCGCGGGGAACGGGAUCAGCGGAGCCAUCCCGGCGAGCCUCGGGUCGUGCUCGGCGCUCAGCACGAUGAACCUCGCCGGGAACAAGCUCACCGGCGCGAUCCCGUCGGAGCUGCGGGGCACGAGUCUGAAUUUGUUGGACAUUUCGAGCAAUGAACUCUCCGGCGCCGUGCCGGCGAUCCUCGCCGAGCUGAAGCUGAGCUACCUAAACCUGUCGGACAAUCGGCUCGACGGGCCCGUGCCGGCGGGGCUGGCCAUCUCGGCCUACGGCGAGAGCUUCCAGGGGAACCCCGGCCUGUGCGCCAACAACGGAGCCGGCUUCCUCCGCCGCUGCACGCCGGGAGACGGUGGCCGUUCGGGGAGCACCGCGCGCACGCUCGUCACCUGCCUCCUCGCCGGCAUGGCGGUCCUGCUCGCCGUCCUCGGCGUGGCGAUAUUCAUCAAGAAGCGCCGGCAGCACGCGGAGGCCGCGGCCAUGGCCGGCGCCGGCAAGCUUCUGUUCGCGAAGAAGGGGUCUUGGAACGUCAAGUCGUUCAGGAUGAUGGCGUUCGACGAGCGGGAGAUCGUGGGCGGCGUCCGGGACGAGAACCUCAUCGGCAGCGGCGGGUCCGGGAACGUGUACCGCGUGAAGCUCGGGUGCGGCACCGUGGUGGCGGUGAAGCACAUCACCCGGACCCGCGCCGCGGCGGCCGCGAGCGCCGGCCCGACGGCGGCCAUGCUGCCCCGGUCGGCGUCGGCGUCGGCGCGGCAGUGCCGCGAGUUCGACGCGGAGGUGGGCACGCUGAGCUCCAUCCGGCACGUGAACGUGGUGAAGCUGCUGUGCAGCGUGACGAGCGAGGACGGCGCGGCGAGCCUGCUGGUGUACGAGCACCUCCCCAACGGCAGCCUCUACGAGCGGCUGCACGGCCCGACCGCCAGGAAGCUGGGCGGGCUCGGCUGGCCGGAGCGGUACGAGGUGGCCGUGGGCGCCGCCCGGGGGCUGGAGUACCUCCACCACGGCUGCGGCGACCGGCCCAUCCUCCACCGCGACGUCAAGUCCAGCAACAUCCUCCUCGACGAGGCCUUCAAGCCCCGCAUCGCCGACUUCGGGCUGGCCAAGAUCCUGGACGCCGGCGGCGGCAAGCAGGGCGAGCCGUGGUCGUCGUCGGGCGGCGCGGUGGCGGGCACGGUGGGGUACAUGGCGCCGGAGUACGCGUACACGCGCAAGGUGACGGAGAAGAGCGACGUGUACAGCUUCGGCGUGGUGCUGCUGGAGCUGGCGACGGGGCGCGCGGCGGUGGCCGACGGCGAGGACGUGGUGGAGUGGGCGUCGCGGCGGCUGGACGGGGCCGGGAACGGGCGGGAGAAGGCGAUGGCGCUGCUGGACGGGUCGGCGGCGCGGGAGGAGUGGGAGAAGGAGGAGGCCGUGCGGGUGCUGCGCGUUGCGGUGCUGUGCACGAGCCGCACGCCGGCGGUGCGGCCGUCGAUGCGGUCCGUGGUGCAGAUGCUGGAGGACGCGGCCGUCGGGCGCGAGUGCUCCGGCAACGGCAAGCCCGCCCUGGAGGUCAAGGUCGUCGUCGCCUAG
Molecule: ribosomal RNA, 3045 nt
Filed under: Triticum aestivum (bread wheat)
Lineage: Eukaryota; Viridiplantae; Streptophyta; Magnoliopsida; Poales; Poaceae
Description: partial small subunit ribosomal RNA
Source: RNAcentral